ACAUUGAGUGUGGAUAUCUUGCUCUUUAAAACAAAGUUCAUUUUUAGGGCAGUAUUGCAACAGAAUUGCCACACAAAAACCAGCGUAAGAAAUGUACAGCACUUCAAUUUUUUUAUAACAAGAGUAAUCCACAGACUUAAAACAUGAGCUCAGAUGCCAGCCAAGGUGUGAUUACCACUCCUCCUCCUCCCAGCAUGCCUCACAAAGAGAGAUAUUUUGACCGCAUCAAUGAAAAUGACCCAGAAUACAUUAGGGAGAGGAACAUGUCUCCUGAUCUACGACAAGACUUCAACAUGAUGGAGCAGAGGAAACGAGUUACUCAGAUCCUGCAAAGUCCUGCCUUUCGGGAAGACUUGGAAUGCCUUAUUCAAGAACAGAUGAAGAAAGGCCACAACCCAACUGGAUUACUAGCAUUACAGCAGAUUGCAGAUUACAUCAUGGCCAAUUCUUUCUCGGGUUUUUCUUCACCUCCUCUCAGUCUUGGCAUGGUCACACCUAUCAAUGACCUUCCUGGUGCAGAUACAUCCUCAUAUGUGAAGGGAGAAAAACUUACUCGCUGUAAACUUGCCAGCCUGUACAGACUUGUAGACUUGUUUGGAUGGGCACACCUGGCAAAUACCUAUAUCUCAGUAAGAAUAAGUAAGGAGCAAGACCACAUUAUAAUAAUUCCCAGAGGCCUAUCU
Molecule: small RNA, 683 nt
Filed under: Pongo abelii (Sumatran orangutan)
Lineage: Eukaryota; Metazoa; Chordata; Mammalia; Primates; Hominidae
Description: processed transcript
Source: RNAcentral